This 75-nucleotide transfer RNA is filed under the name Marmota monax (woodchuck). Its description in RNAcentral is "tRNA.Ala". The record is from RNAcentral. Lineage: Eukaryota; Metazoa; Chordata; Mammalia; Rodentia; Sciuridae.
GACAUGUGGCUUAGUGGUAGAGCACUUGCCUAGCAUGUAUAAGGUGUAAGGUUCUGAGUUCUAUUCCCAGCACCA